Molecule: ribosomal RNA, 459 nt
Filed under: uncultured bacterium
Lineage: Bacteria
Description: partial 16S ribosomal RNA
Rfam family: Bacterial small subunit ribosomal RNA
Source: RNAcentral
CUACGGGUCGCAGCAGUGAGGAAUAUUGGUCAAUGGGCGCAAGCCUGAACCAGCCAUCCCGCGUGGAGGAAGACGGCCCUAUGGGUUGUAAACUCCUUUUAUAAGGGAAGAAUAUACGUAUCGUGAUAUGUUUUGACGGUACCUUAUGAAUAAGCAUCGGCUAACUCCGUGCCAGCAGCCGCGGUAAUACGGAGGAUGCAAGCGUUAUCCGGAUUCAUUGGGUUUAAAGGGUGCGCAGGCGGACCAAUAAGUCAGUGGUGAAAUCUUACGGCUCAACCGUGAAACUGCCAUUGAUACUGUUAGUCUUGAGUACGGCUGAGGUAGGCGGAAUGUGUGAUGUAGCGGUGAAAUGCUUAGAUAUUACACAGAACACCAAUUGCGUAGGCAGCUUACUAGACCGUAACUGACGCUGAGGCACGAAAGCGUGGGUAGCGAACAGGAUUAGAUACCCGGGUAGUC